ACGCACGCUGGCGGCGUGCUUAACACCUGCAAGUCGCACGGAAAGGCCCUGCUUUUGUGGGGUGCUCGAGUGGCGAACGGGUGAGUAACACGUGAGUAACCUGCCCUUGACUUUGGGAUAACUUCAGGAAACUGGGGCUAAUACCGGAUAGGAGCUCCUGCUGCAUGGUGGGGGUUGGAAAGUUUCGGCGGUUGGGGAUGGACUCGCGGCUUAUCAGCUUGUUGGUGGGGUAGUGGCUUACCAAGGCUUUGACGGGUAGCCGGCCUGAGAGGGUGACCGGCCACAUUGGGACUGAGAUACGGCCCAGACUCCUACGGGAGGCAGCAGUGGGGAAUAUUGCACAAUGGGCGGAAGCCUGAUGCAACAACGCCGCGUGCGGGAUGACGGCCUUCGGGUUGUAAACCGCUUUCGCCUGUGACGAAGCGUGAGUGACGGUAAUGGGUAAAGAAGCACCGGCUAACUACGUG
This 467-nucleotide ribosomal RNA is filed under the name uncultured bacterium. RNAcentral's name for it is "partial 16S ribosomal RNA". It matches the Rfam family "Bacterial small subunit ribosomal RNA", at positions 29 to 507 of the family's 1533-position model. The record is from RNAcentral.